Non-coding RNA from Pelobates cultripes (western spadefoot toad), 241 nucleotides. NCBI's taxonomy places the organism in Eukaryota, Metazoa, Chordata, Amphibia, Anura, Pelobatidae. The record is from the annotation of a GenBank genome assembly.
CUGGUGUAGAACAGGAUCUCUGGAGGCUGUUUGCAACUGUGGUCACAAAAUUCAAUGUUCUGGGAGAAUUGGAAGCAGCUCCAUUUUUUGGGGCCCCUUACACAGCUCUAGGUCUGGGCCCCGGGGCCUGACGGUGAGUAUGCCCAUAAGGCCCACUCAUAAGUUCCACCCACCCAUGAGUUCACUCACAGGGAGUGGAGUGUGUAGGGGAUGUGUUAUGUGUUAUUGUAGAGGAUCUAAU